UCUUACGUUGCUAUACUGCAGUCGAGCGAAUCAAUGGGAGCUUGCUCCCUGAGAUUAGCGGCGGACGGGUGAGUAACACGUGGGUAACCUGCCUGUAAGAUUGGGAUAACUCCGGGAAACCGGAGCUAAUACCGGAUAACAUUUUGAACCGCAUGGUUCAAAGUUGAAAGAUGGUUUCGGCUAUCACUUACAGAUGGACCCGCGGCGGAUUAGCUAGGUGGGGAGGUAACGGCUCACCAAGGCAACGAUGCGUAGCCGAACUGAGAGGGGGAUCGGGCCUUAUGGGACUGAGACACGGCCCAGACUCCUACGGGAGGCAGCAGUAGGGAAUCUUCCGCAAUGGACGAAAGUCUGACGGAGCAACGCCGCGUGAACGAUGAAGGCCUUCGGGUCGUAAAGUUCUGUUGGUAGGGAAGAACAAGUACCAGAGUUACUGCUGGUACCUUGACGGUACCUAACCAGAAAGCCACGGCUAACUACGUGCCAGCAGCCGCGGUAAUACGUAGGUGGCAAGCGUUGUCCGGAAUUAUUGGGCGUAAAGCGGACGCAGGCGGUUUCUUAAGUCUGAUGUGAAAGCCCACGGCUCAACCGUGGAGGGUCAUUGGAAACUGGGGAACCUGAGUACAGAAGAGGAGAGUGGAAUUCCACGUGUAGCGGUGAAAUGCGUAGA
This 670-nucleotide ribosomal RNA is filed under the name Bacillus sp. EK-I43. Its description in RNAcentral is "bacterial SSU rRNA". It matches the Rfam family "Bacterial small subunit ribosomal RNA", at positions 47 to 694 of the family's 1533-position model. Lineage: Bacteria; Bacillati; Bacillota; Bacilli; Caryophanales; Bacillaceae. The record is from RNAcentral.